RNAcentral lists this ribosomal RNA (478 nucleotides) under uncultured bacterium. RNAcentral describes it as "partial 16S ribosomal RNA". It matches the Rfam family "Bacterial small subunit ribosomal RNA", at positions 28 to 507 of the family's 1533-position model. The record is from RNAcentral.
GACGAACGCUGGCGGCGUGCUUAACACAUGCAAGUCGAACGGGAUUUAGUAGACAGAAGCCUCGGCUAAAGAUUACUAAUGAGAGUGGCGAACGGGUGAGUAACGCGUGAGCAACCUGCCUAUGACAGUGGGAUAGCCUCGGGAAACCGGGAUUAAUACCGCAUAAAAUCGUAGAAACACAUGUUUCAACGGUCAAAGAUUUAUCGGUCAUAGAUGGGCUCGCGUCUGAUUAGCUAGUUGGUGAGAUAACAGCCCACCAAGGCGACGAUAAGUAGCCGGUCUGAGAGGAUGAGCGGCCACAUUGGAACUGAGACACAGUCCAAACUCCUACGGGAGGCAGCAGUGGGGAAUAUUGCACAAUGGGGGAAACCCUGAUGCAGCGACGCCGCGUGAACGAAGAAGGUAUUCGUAUCGUAAAGUUCUGUCCUAUGGGAAGAUAAUGACAGUACCAUAGAAGAAAGCUCCGGCUAAAUACGUG